RNAcentral lists this unclassified non-coding RNA (279 nucleotides) under plant metagenome. RNAcentral's name for it is "partial contains small subunit ribosomal RNA, internal transcribed spacer 1, and 5.8S ribosomal RNA". The record is from RNAcentral.
UUUCCGUAGGUGAACCUGCGGAAGGAUCAUUAUUAAACACCCUCACAUGCAUAUUACUGUUCCAAACCUCUGUUGCCGGUGCGCAUCGGGGCUAUUUUACAAACGCAGUGUAAUGAACUUCAUAUCUCUUAACAAAACAAAACUUACAACAGCGGAUCUCUUGUCUCUGGCAUCGAUGAAGAACACAGCAUAUCAUCACACCACACUUCAUAACUCCAGCCACGCAUAGUCAACUCCUAAACCAUCCUCUGCAUUACUAUUAGAAAAAGAAUUUGUAUU